GAAAUGCGAUAAGUAAUGUGAAUUGCAGAAUUCAGUGAAUCAUCGAAUCUUUGAACGCACAUUGCGCCCUAUGGUAUUCCGUAGGGCAUGCCUGUUCGAGCGUCAUUACACACCUCAAGCUCUGCUUGGUAUUGGGCAUCGUCCCCCUAAACUGGGACGUGCCUCAAAGACCUCGGCGGUGGCGUCUUUGCCUCAAGCGUAGUAAUAUUCUUAUCUCGCUUUGGAGUCGAAGGCGUCGCCCGCCGGACGAAACCUUUAUUUUUCUAUCAAGGUUGACCUCGGAUCAGGUAGGGAUACCCGCUGAACUUAA
Molecule: unclassified non-coding RNA, 310 nt
Filed under: uncultured Botryosphaeriales
Lineage: Eukaryota; Fungi; Ascomycota; Dothideomycetes; Botryosphaeriales
Description: sequence contains ITS1
Rfam family: 5.8S ribosomal RNA (bases 1-105)
Source: RNAcentral